ACUUUCGGGGAUGGAGGGGAAGCCCAGGUACUCUCUGUGCUUCCUAACUGGCCGUGGAAGGGGAGGUGGAGACGGGAAGCGGCAGUCGGUUUCACUGCAGCGUCUGGGAUUCCUGCCCCGAGUUCUUCCUCAGAAACCGGCGGCGGCUGCGGACAGGGGCGGCUGGGCUGAGGGGCGGGAAGCCGCUGGCCAGCUUCACCCUCUCUCUGGGGCUCCUGCAGGGCAAGGGGAGCGGAUGUGAAGUUGUCCCUGUAGAUAUAAUUAACAGCAUUGUGGACAAGACCACAAGUUCAGAAGGAGCUUACAAAGGAGAAAUUCAUGCUGCAAAUGGUGACACUUAAGCCAAAAGCAAUAAAAUGCAUUCAUCUGGGACACUGUCGCCCUGGGGUUUAUGGCUUCCACAGGACAAUCCAAGUCUGGGCUUCAGACCUCGUCAUUCUGCCACACUGUGACCCCGAGGCAGGGCGCGCCAUAAACAGACCGGGAGGCUGCUCUGUGUGCCCUCGCUGCGGGCUGGCUGCUCUGGGAAGAACACGCAGCCCUCAACAGGGAAAUGCGAUAACUAUUCUGCUUCUUGGAAUGAUUUGCAGAUUCAUGCAUUCAAACAUUCUUCAGAUGCUGACUGGUGGUAUAUGUCACCACGUUCCCGGUGGGAUGCGACCUGGUGGUGGAAAACAGACAGCUCACUUAAACGCCAGUUCGGCCACUUACUAACCGUGUGACCUUGGGAAACUUACUUAACUUCUCUGAGCCGAAGUUUACUCACAGAUGUAAAGUAGGGGAGGUCAAGAAUGUGCUGGAACACCAUAAAGAUGGACUGAAACCUGUGACCAUUCUUGUUGCCUCUGGUAUUUGUGUCCUGAAGAAGCUGGACCCUUUGUCACGGAGCUGAACACACACACCUGGCCCAGGAGCUGGUGUCGCUGAAGGAGGAUCCAGGAGAAGGUGGGACAGCUGCAGGCCUGGCCCCGGCCCCAAGCCAACAAGAGUCACCGAUCUCUUACUGUGUGCUGAACCACAAGACCUGUGCGAAACUCAGAGAUCCCCAGGGGGAGAAAAGUUCGAGCUUACCCACGUAAACCCUGCAGGAGCAACUGGGCUGGUCAAUAUGUCUAGACUGGGGCCAGGGAGCCCUCCGAGACAUCUCGUGCCAUGUCCUGAGCACAGUCAAAUUCAGCCUUCCGCCACUGACCCUCUCAGCCACCCCCCAAACCUUUUAUGGACUGAAUUCUGAACGAGCCAAAGUGCAACAGUCGAAAACAGCAACAUGUCAUCAGAUUGUGUUAUGAAGAGUAGAAUCUCCAUGCCUGGGUCUCUUCUGAGUAUCUAGAAUGAUCACGAUGGAGAGAGGGUGGAGACCACAAUUAUACUCUGCCCAGGCACCUACAGAGAGAAUGGAUGAGAGAUGACGUCGACUAGAAGAUUUCUGACUUGAUGGUUUUAAAGAUGAAUAAAGGGG
This 1459-nucleotide long non-coding RNA is filed under the name Equus asinus (donkey). RNAcentral's name for it is "lncRNA (ENSEASG00005030956.1)". The record is from RNAcentral. Lineage: Eukaryota; Metazoa; Chordata; Mammalia; Perissodactyla; Equidae.